Molecule: small nuclear RNA, 105 nt
Filed under: Aotus nancymaae (Ma's night monkey)
Lineage: Eukaryota; Metazoa; Chordata; Mammalia; Primates; Aotidae
Source: RNAcentral
GUGCUCGCUCCGGCAACAUAUACACUAAAAAUUGGAAUGAUACAGAGAUGAGCAUAGCCCCUGAGUAAGGAUGACACACAAAUUUAUAAAGCAUUCCAUAUUUUA